GAUGAACGCUAGCGACAGGCCUAACACAUGCAAGUCGAGGGGUAGCAUUGAAGUAGCAAUACUUUAGAUGACGACCGGCGCACGGGUGAGUAACGCGUAUGCAACCUACCUACUACAGGGGAAUAGCCCGAAGAAAUUCGGAUUAAUGCCGCAUAAUACAGGGGCACCGCAUGGUGAUAUUUGUUAAAGAUUAAUUGGUAGUAGAUGGGCAUGCGUUCCAUUAGCCAGUUGGUGAGGUAACGGCUCACCAAAGCAACGAUGGAUAGGGGAACUGAGAGGUUUAUCCCCCACACUGGUGCUGAGACACGGACCAGACUCCUACGGGAGGCAGCAGUGAGGAAUAUUGGUCAAUGGGCGAGAGCCUGAACCAGCCAAGUCGCGUGAAGGAUGACUGCCCUAUGGGUUGUAAACUUCUUUUGUACUGGGGUAAAAAAGAGGACGUGUCCUUUCUUGCAAGUACAGUACGAAUAAGCAUCGGCUAACUCCGUGCCAGCAGCCGCAGUAA
Molecule: ribosomal RNA, 505 nt
Filed under: uncultured bacterium
Lineage: Bacteria
Description: partial 16S ribosomal RNA
Rfam family: Bacterial small subunit ribosomal RNA
Source: RNAcentral